RNAcentral lists this transfer RNA (82 nucleotides) under Anaerolinea thermophila. Its description in RNAcentral is "tRNA-Leu". It matches the Rfam family "tRNA". From Rfam's summary of the family: Transfer RNA (tRNA) molecules are approximately 80 nucleotides in length. Their secondary structure includes four short double-helical elements and three loops (D, anti-codon, and T loops). Lineage: Bacteria; Bacillati; Chloroflexota; Anaerolineae; Anaerolineales; Anaerolineaceae. The record is from RNAcentral. RNAcentral also lists the same sequence under 4 other names.
GCCGAAGUGGCGGAACAGGCAGACGCGCGCGACUCAAAAUCGCGUUCCGAAAGGAAUGUGGGUUCGAUUCCCACCUUCGGCA